This 65-nucleotide transfer RNA is filed under the name Diatraea saccharalis (sugarcane borer). RNAcentral's name for it is "tRNA-Pro". Lineage: Eukaryota; Metazoa; Arthropoda; Insecta; Lepidoptera; Crambidae. The record is from RNAcentral.
CAAAGAAUAGUUUAAUAAAAAUAGUAAUUUUGGAGAUUAUAGAUACAAAAAUUUUAUUUCUUUGA